This 253-nucleotide ribosomal RNA is filed under the name uncultured bacterium. Its description in RNAcentral is "partial 16S ribosomal RNA". It matches the Rfam family "Bacterial small subunit ribosomal RNA", at positions 524 to 776 of the family's 1533-position model. The record is from RNAcentral.
UACGUAGGUGGCAAGCGUUGUCCGGAUUUACUGGGCGUAAAGAGCGCGCAGGCGGCCAAGUCAGUCGAAUGUGAAAGCCCCCGGCUCAACUGGGGAGGGUCAUUCGAUACUGCUCGGCUCGAAGACAGGAGAGGGAAGUGGAAUUCCCGGUGUAGUGGUGAAAUGCGUAGAUAUCGGGAGGAACGCCAGUGGCGAAGGCGACUUUCUGGCCUGUUCUUGACGCUGAGGCGCGAAAGCUAGGGGAGCAAACGGG